Molecule: long non-coding RNA, 9081 nt
Organism: Oncorhynchus kisutch (coho salmon)
Lineage: Eukaryota; Metazoa; Chordata; Actinopteri; Salmoniformes; Salmonidae
Exons: 2
Source: RefSeq, a predicted model, not a curated record
UUUGAACUACGUAUAAGACAUUGGCUCGGAUGUAGGUUGUGCCUUUUAGUUGUCGAAGGAAGAAUUGUUCACUUCUCUCAUUGACUUCUCAAACACCGGUCUGGUCUGUUUCGCAAGUGUUCCCGGAAGUACCGCAAUGUUGCGCCUCUGGCUUUAGAAACUCUGUGUUAUCAAGGACUCCAUAUUAAUUUAUCCAUUGGAUUGGUCGAACAGUGCAAAAGAAAACCUCCCCCUACAGUUGUUUUCUCUCUCGUCAACACCAGUAUGCUGGCAAUCUAGUUUCAGACGUUUUUUAUUUUUUUACAUAAUUACAGUAAUGGGAGGAAAAUUGAGGGGAGGGCUUUAGGAUUUGUGUGACAGUUCAACAGCGCAAUCUCCGUAAAGGGCAGUCAGACGGCUGGGGGGCAAAAAAAAUCGUAGAACUGGUUCUCGUAAGAGCUCGCAAGAGGGUGUCAAAUACGGACAUUGCCCCCCCCCCCCCCCCCCCCCCCGGGAAUAUAGCAUUUACUGAUGAUGUUGGUGUCUUUGAAGAGUUUCUGCUGCCUCUCCAGCUUCUAGACAAGAUCAUCUCUGACAGUGCAACCUGUCCAGCAUUUGACAAAGGUCUUCUCAGCCAUAUUAUAACGAUAUGUAGCUAGCUACCAGCUACUAGCUACCAGCUACUAGCUACCAGCUACUAGCUACCAGCUACUAGCUACCAGCUACUAGCUACAUACUUUGUCAUUCUCUCAUUUGUGACUCAAAUCCCUAAACAGAUGCGAAGUGAACGAGUGCCAGACUUCGUGGGGAAAUGUCCAGACCGCAGCUCUUCACGUGAGACACAUCCAGAUUUGGGGUAACAUCUCCCAAUUGUCAUGCCCAGCUGUUCAGACCAGAGAUGGAUCAAGAGCUCAACCUCUGCCACUAUUUCGGCAGAGAACAGACAGUGGACUAAACUCCAGGGAUGUAUGGGGAUACAGGCGAGACUGGCAACUACAGACAGCUCCAGGCUGGACCUGUCUGUCCCCUCUCUCUCCUCUAUCCUCAUCGAUCUGUCCCCACCACUGCUUGUAGACGACGAUGAUAUCUGUCAAGUCGUGUCCUGUUAUUUUCAUAACUAGGGAUCGAACAGAACAUAUGUCGGUCGGCUAGUUGGUGGAAUCAUCCCCAGAAUUGGUUCCAUUUGCAUUUAAAGUUAUUCACAGACAUCUCGGUAGGUUUUUUUCCCUCCUGAAAUGGAGGAUCUCUGUUCUACUGCCUUCAGUAACCCAAUAAUCACCCUUUUGUCUGAACCAAGCAAUUUACCAUUAUAAUGAACAAAGUGUAGAUCUAGUUUCAGAUGUGCCGUGGACAGUGAGUUUGUUGUUGUUCUGAAAAGCCUCGUUCCCAACCUUCAAUAAUGGGAGUAAAACAUAGUAGAUGUUGCAAACUGCAUCAAAGAUCUUGUCGCCUCCUAAUGUCGCGUGUCAGACUUUACUGCUACAGAGUUGGUUUGUUCUAAUAUAUUAUACCAGACCUUGACUGAAAACCUACAGGACAGUAGAUCUCCAGGAAGAGGGUUGGACUGAAAACCUACAGGACAGUAGAUCUCCAGGAAGAGGGUUGGACUGAAAACAUACAGACAGUAGAUCUCCAGGAAGAGGGUUGGACUGAAAACCUACAGGACAGUAGAUCUCCAGGAAGAGGGUUGGGCUGAAACCCUACAAGACAGUAGAUCUCCAGGAAGAGGGUUGGACUGAAAACCUACAGGACAGUAGAUCUCCAGGAAGAGGGUUGGGCUGAAAACCCACAGGACAGUAGAUCUCCAGGAAGAGGGUUGGACUGAAAACCCUACAGGACAGUAGAUCUCCAGGAAGAGGGUUGGGCUGAAAACCCACAGGACAGUAGAUCUCCAGGAAGAAGGUUGGACUGAAACCCUACAAGACAGUAGAUCUCCAGGAAGAGGGUUGGGCUGAAACCCUACAAGACAGUAGAUCUCCAGGAAGAGGGCUGGGCUGAAAACCCACAGGACAGUAGAUCUCCAGGAAGAGGGUUGGACUGAAAACCUACAGGACAGUAGAUCUCCAGGAAGAGGGUUGGGCUGAAAACCCACAGGACAGUAGAUCUCCAGGAAGAGGGUUGGGCUGAAAACCCACAGGACAGUAGAUCUCCAGGAAGAGGGUUGGACUGAAAACCUACAGGACGGUAGAUCUCCAGGAAGAGGGUUGGACUGAAAACCUACAGGACAGUAGAUCUCCAGGAAGAGGGUUGGACUGAAAACCCUACAGGACAGUAGAUCUCCAGGAAGAGGGCUGGGCAGCCCUGUACCUUAUCAUACCAGGUUCUGAGCCUCUCGUCUGGCUCUGUGAGAUUAGUAGUUCCCUCCCUCUUAUGAUUGUUGAUCUGUGGUGGAAAUAUGUUGUUAUUGCUUUACCCCAUUGCCAUGUUUUGCACCAGGACAGUUGGUGCUUUUCUCUAUGAUAUUAACCAGUGUAAAGACAACAACAGUACACUAACCCAGGUCCUAGAGUUCGAGGCAAAUGAAUAUCGUCAUUUCCCUUCGACGAAGUAGGGACCAUAUAGCCCAACAUAACAUACUGUACCAAAAGUGAAAAGACGCAAUUCAUUCUUACACCAUAUUGAUUCAUUCUUACACCAUAUUGAUUCAUUCGUACACCAUAUUGAUUCAUUCUUACAUACACCAUAUUGAUUCAUUCUUACAUACACCAUAUUGAUUCAUUCUUACACCAUAUUGAUUCAUUCUUACACCAUAUUGAUUCAUUCUUACACCAUAUUGAUUCAUUCGUACACCAUAUUGAUUUAUUCUUACACCAUAUUGAUUCAUUCGUACACCAUAUUGAUUCAUUCGUACACCAUAUUGAUUCAUUCUUACAUACACCAUAUUGAUUCAUUCUUACACCAUAUUGAUUCAUUCGUACACCAUAUUGAUUCAUUCUUACACCAUAUUGAUUCAUUCGUACACCAUAUUGAUUCAUUUUUACAUACACCAUAUUGAUUCAUUCUUACAUACACCAUAUUGAUUCAUUCUUACAUACACCAUAUUGAUUCAUUCUUACAUACACCAUAUUGAUUCAUUCGUACACCAUAUUGAUUCAUUCUUACAUACACCAUAUUGAUUCAUUCUUACACCAUAUUGAUUCAUUCACUCUUACACCAUAUUGAUUCAUUCGAUAACCUUAUCAGAGUUUGUAUGAAUGGCACAGAGUCCCAGAUGAUGUUAUUUUAGUUAUAGGGCCGGGUUCCCAGACACACAGUCCUAGUUAUAGGGCCGGGUUCCCAGACACACAGUCCUAGUUAUAGGACCGGAUCCCCAGACACACAGUCCUAGUUAUAGGACCGGAUUCCCAGACACACAGUCCUAGUUAUAGGACCGGAUUCCCAGACACACAGUCCUAGUUAUAGGGCCGGAUUCCCAGACACACAGUCCUAGUUACAGGACCGGAUCCCCAGACACACAGUCCUAGUUAUAGGGCCGGGUUCCCAGACACACAGUCCUAGUUAUAGGACCGGAUCCCCAGACACACAGUCCUUGUUAUAGGACCGGAUCCCCAGACACACAGUCCUAGUUAUAGGGCCGGAUUCCCAGACACACAGUCCUAGUUAUAGGGCCGGCUUCCCAGACACACAGUCCUAGUUAUAGGACCGGAUCCCCAGACACACAGUCCUAGUUAUAGGGCCGGGUUCCCAGACACACAGUCCUAGUUAUAGGGCCGGGUUCCCAGACACACAGUCCUAGUUAUAGGACCGGAUCCCCAGACACACAGUCCUAGUUAUAGGACCGGAUCCCCAGACACACAGUCCUAGUUAUAGGACCGGGUUCCCAGACACACAGUCCUAGUUAUAGGGCCGGGUUCCCAGACACACAGUCCUAGUUAUAGGACCGGAUCCCCAGACACACAGUCCUAGUUAUAGGACCGGAUCCCCAGACACACAGUCCUAGUUAUAGGACCGGAUCCCCAGACACACAGUCCUAGUUAUAGGACCGGAUCCCCAGACACACAGUCCUAGUUAUAGGACCGGAUCCCCAGACACACAGUCCUAGUUAUAGGACCGGAUCCCCAGACACACAGUCCUUGUCGAGGAGAUGUUCCAUUGAAAAAGUGUUUUAGAUGCAGGUAACCUAGUGAUUAGAGCAUUGGACUAGUAACCUAAAGGUUGCUGGAUCGAAUCCCAGAGUUGACCAGGUAAAAAUCUCUCGUUCUGCCUUUGAACAAGGCAGUUAACCCACUGUUCCCCGGUAGGCCGUCAUUGUAAAUAAGAAUUUGUUCUUAACUGACUUGCCUAGUUAAACAAAUUGAAAUUGUCCAGAAUUAGGCUUAAUCUGUAUCUGGGAAACAGGCCCUUAGGGUAGAUUUAUGUGUUGUACCCAUAGAGUUAGAUUUAUAGAGUUAGGUAGAUUUAUAUGUUGUACCCAUAGAGUUAGGUAGAUUUAUAUGUUGUACCCAUAGAGUUAGGUAGAUGUAUGUGUUGAGCCCAUAGAGUUAGGUAGGUUUAUGUGUUGUGCCCAUAGAGUUAGGUAGAUGUAUGUGUUGUACCCAUAGAGUUAGGUAGAUUUAUAUGUUGUACCCAUAGAGUUAGGUAGAUUUAUAUGUUGUACCCAUAGAGUUAGGUAGAUGUAUGUGUUGAGCCCAUAGAGUUAGGUAGAUUUAUGUGUUGAGCCCAUAGAGUUAGGUAGAUUUAUGUGUUGAGCCCAUAGAGUUAGGUAGAUGUAUGUGUUGAGCCCAUAGAGUUAGGUAGGUUUAUGUGUUGUGCCCAUAGAGUUAGGUAGAUGUAUGUGUUGUACCCAUAGAGUUAGGUAGGUUUAUGUGUUGAGCCCAUAGAGUUAGGUAGAUUUAUGUGUUGAGCCCAUAGAGUUAGGUAGAUUUAUAUAUUGAGCCCAUAGAGUUAGGUAGAUGUAUGUGUUGUACCCAUAGAGUUAGGUAGGUUUAUGUGUUGAGCCCAUAGAGUUAGGUAGGUUUAUGUGUUGAGCCCAUAGAGUUAGGUAGAUGUAUGUGUUGAGCCCAUAGAGUUAGGUAGAUGUAUGUGUUGAUCCCAUAGAGUUAGGUAGGUUUAUGUGUUGAGCCCAUAGAGUUAGGUAGAUGUAUGUGUUGAGCCCAUAGAGUUAGGUAGAUGUAUGUGUUGAGCCCAUAGAGUUAGGUAGAUGUAUGUGUUGAGCCCAUAGAGUUAGGUAGAUGUAUGUGUUGAGCCCAUAGAGUUAGGUAGAUGUAUGUGUUGAGCCCAUAGAGUUAGGUAGAUGUAUGUGUUGAGCCCAUAGAGUUAGGUAGAUGUAUGUGUUGAUCCCAUAGAGUUAGGUAGAUGUAUGUGUUGAUCCCAUAGAGUUAGGUAGAUGUAUGUGUUGAGCCCCAUAGAGUUAGGUAGAUGUAUGUGUUGAGCCCCAUAGAGUUAGGUAGAUGUAUGUGUUGAGCCCCAUAGAGUUAGGUAGAUGUAUGUGUUGAGCCCCAGGCAACAUUUUCUAUUUCAUUAAGGGACUUUUUCUUUUCAUUUGUGGUCCACCACCUUCACUCCUUCCGGGAUAUGUGCAAUAUGGUAUCUUAUUACCUGUCAUGAUGUAGAUAUGAAUGUAAUAUUGUAUGAACAAGUGACACGUUGUUUGAAAACAACAAAAUUACCAACGUCUUCCAUUAAGAAAUAUUUAUAGUCUUCAUAUGCAUUAGCUUGUUUAGAGGGACUGUGGUGCCAAUAUUAUAACUAACCAUGCAUGAAGGGUUGCUGGUGUUACUUGCUUUUUGAAUAACCAAAAGGUUGCGAGGUCAAAUCCCCGAGCUGACAAGGUACAAAUCUGUCGUUCUGCCCCCUGAACAAGGCAGUUAACCCACUGUUCGCCUGAACAAAGCAGUUAACCCACUGUUCCCCUGAACAAGGCAGUUAACCCACUGUUCCCCUGAACAAGGCAGUUAACCCACUGUUCCCCUGAACAAGGCAGUUAACCCACUGUUCCCCUGAGCAAGGCAGUUAACCCACUGUUCCCCUGAACAAGGCAGUUAACCCCCUGAACAAGGCAGUUAACCCACUGUUCCCCUGAACAAGGCAGUUAACCCACUGUUCCCCUGAACAAGGCAGUUAACCCACUGUUCCCCUGAACAAGGCAGUUAACCCACUGUUCCCCUGAACAAGGCAGUUAACCCACUGUUCCCCUGAACAGGCAGUUAACCCACUGUUCCCCUGAACAAGGCAGUUAACCCACUGUUCCCCUGAACAAGGCAGUUAACCCACUGUUCCCCUGAACAAGGCAGUUAACCCACUGUUCCCCUGAACAAGGCAGUUAACCCACUGUUCCCCUGAACAAGGCAGUUAACCCACUGUUCCCCUGAACAAGGCAGUUAACCCACUGUUCCCCUGAACAGGCAGUUAACCCACUGUUCCCCUGAACAAGGCAGUUAACCCACUGUUCCCCUGAACAAGGCAGUUAACCCACUGUUCCCCUGAACAAGGCAGUUAACCCACUGUUCCCCUGAACAAGGCAGUUAACCCACUGUUCCCCUGAACAAGGCAGUUAACCCACUGUUCCCCUGAACAAGGCAGUUAACCCACUGUUCCCCUGAACAAGGCAGUUAACCCACUGUUCCCCUGAACAAGGCAGUUAACCCACUGUUCCCCUGAACAAGGCAGUUAACCCACUGUUCCCCUGAACAAGACAGUUAACCCACUGUUCCCCUGAACAAGGCAGUUAACCCACUGUUCCCCUGAACAAGGCAGUUAACCCACUGUUCCCCUGAACAAGACAGUUAACCCACUGUUCCCCUGAACAAGGCAGUUAACCCACUGUUCCCCUGAACAAGACAGUUAACCCACUGUUCCCCUGAACAAGGCAGUUAACCCACUGUUCCCCUGAACAAGGCAGUUAACCCACUGUUCCCCUGAACAAGACAGUUAACCCACUGUUCCCCUGAACAAGGCAGUUAACCCACUGUUCCCCUGAACAAGGCAGUUAACCCACUGUUCCCCUGAACAAGGCAGUUAACCCACUGUUCCCCUGAACAAGGCAGUUAACCCACUGUUCCCCUGAACAAGACAGUUAACCCACUGUUCCUAGGUCGUCAUUGUAAAAUAACAAUUUGUUUCUCAACUGACUUGCCGAGUUUUAAAAGAAAUAAGGAAACAUUGUUUUCUAAAAACAGAACAUGUUUGGGAGAUUUGAUUCAAUUGUUAAAUUCUAUUCAGAGUGAAUUUCACCACAGAUAUACAGUUAUCUAUUACUAUCUAUCUAUUACUAUCUAAACUGUAUUUUAUGGAAUUAACAUCUUUAGAAUCAGACAUAUUGACAUCCAGUGUGUUUACACAGGCAGCCCAAUUCUGAUCUUUUUUUUCCACUAAUUGGUCUUUUUGACCAAUCAGAUCGGCUCUUUUGCCACUAAUUGGUAUUUUUGGCCAAUCAGAUCUUCUCUUUUGCCAAUAAUUAGACAACAUAUUAGAGUUGUGCUUCCAGUGGAAACAGCCUUGAUCAAUAAAAUUACGAUCUAGAAUAUGAGAAUAUAUUUAGUUAAAAAGCAAGGCAUCUAGACAUUUCAGAAGAAAAUAAAAAAAUUCUGCACGAUUUUCAGUUUAUUUGAUCUAUUGUAAUCUCUGUUUUUAAAGGAAUGUUUAGCAUAUUAGUAGCUAUAUAAUUGAAUGUUUUUUUUUGUUUAGAGGGAAGACUAUGGUGUAUACUGUGGUUUAGGAGGAUGUAUGUUCCUCAUAAGAAACACCCAACAGUGCGUGAAGUACCACAUGUUGAAACAGAACAACUGACAUUUGAAUUGGCAAAACGGUCUUCUGGGGAAAUUCAAUAUUCAAGCUACGUUCCCUAUGGUACUAGUGCAUAACUUUUUGACCUGGGGGAGGGGGGGGGGCAUAGGGCUCUGGUACAAAGUAGUGCACUAUGUAGGGAAUAGGGUGUCAUUUUUGGAAGUAGCCUCAGACUCGUACAGUAUCAUUCUGUAAGAACUAAGAACCCACUGAUUUAGGAGGCCUGUGUUGAUGCCUCUUUUUACGGUUUACAUUCUGUUCAAAUGUUGCACCGUUGUCCAUAUCAAUCGAACUAUGUAUGCAUGUGAAUUAUUAUGCAUCCUUCCUAUUUAAUUGAACGUAAUAGAGCUGCCUCAAGGAGAGACGACUGAACAAAAAAAUAUAAAUAAUAAUAAUUAUGCUGUAACCCUUUCUUGACCUGUGUGAACUAAUUCACUUCCUGUGUGAACUAAUUCACUUCCUGUGUGAACUAAUUCACUUCCUGUGUGAACUAAUUCACUUCCUUGUGUGAACUAAUUCACUUCCUGUGUGAACUAAUUCACUUCCUGUGUGAACUAAUUCACUUCCUGUGUGAACUAAUUCACUUCCUUGUGUGAACUAAUUCACUUCCUGUGUGAACUAAUUCACUUCCUUGUGUGAACUAAUUCACUUCCUGUGUGAACUAAUUCACUUCCUGUGUGAACUAAUUCACUUCCUGUGUGAUCUAAUUCACUACCAUCAUCCUGUCUUGAAUACUGUGUUUAAAAAAUAUAUAUUAAAACAACUGUAACGCUACACAAUGUAGCAAUGCUUAGGAUAGGUAAAUCUAGAAUGUAUCGAUCAUUUAAAACUAUUAAAUGCGAGGAGAAAAUAUUAUGCAUGACUUAAAGUAAUCAAUGAUUUGUAUCGCGGGCAAUAAUCAACUUGGUAAUUUGCGUUGAUCAUUAGAUCUGUGAUACUGAAAGGUUGAUUUUGUGGCGCUGUGAUAUAAGGUAGUAAUACGUUUUACAGGUCUUGAAUAAGGGGAUGGUUGUUGACAUCACCCUGAGCACAUUGUUUUGAUAAAAAGAAUGUACGAUGUUGAUCAACAGCCUGAAAUCCAGGCUGUUUGCGCUAUCAUUCUACUAUCAUUCUACUAUCAUUCUACUAUCAUUCUAAUGACAAGGAGUGGCAUGAUGGCCCAAAAGACUGGAUUUCAGGCUGUUGAUCCAAGUAUUACUAGUAAACAAACAGAAUGAGUUGACUGUGCGUUGUGGUGUGACUAUGCACUCCAGCGAGAGGCCCUGGGGCAUGCUGGAGCAACGGAGUCUCCCGUCUCGGUUGUGGAUUAACUGAAGAAAUCUGCAUCAGAAAUGUAGCAAUAAAUAAAUAAAUAAAAAGCAGCAUGGUGCCAAUGAC